This 501-nucleotide ribosomal RNA is filed under the name uncultured Planctomycetales bacterium. RNAcentral describes it as "bacterial SSU rRNA". It matches the Rfam family "Bacterial small subunit ribosomal RNA", at positions 12 to 529 of the family's 1533-position model. Lineage: Bacteria; Pseudomonadati; Planctomycetota; Planctomycetia; Planctomycetales. The record is from RNAcentral.
UUUGAUCCUGGCUCAGAAUGAACGUUGGCGGCGUGGAUUAGGCAUGCAAGUCGAGCGAGAAAUUUAUUUUUGAUCUUUCGAGUGAAGAAAUAAAUGGACAGCGGCGAAAGGGAGAGUAACGAGUAGAUUACGUACCCAGGGGUGCGGGAUAGCGGGGAGAAAUCGCCGGUAAUACCGCAUAACGUCUCCGGACCAAAGAUUUAUCGCCCUUGGAGCGGUUUGCUCACUAUUAGCUUGUUGGUGGGGUAAAGGCCUACCAAGGCUAAGAUGGUUAGCGGGUGUGAGAGCAUGGCCCGUCUCACUGGGACUGAGACACUGCCCAGACACCUACGGGUGGCCGCAGUCGAGAAUCUUCCGCAAUGGGCGAAAGCCUGACGGAGCGACGCCGCGUGCGGGAUGAAGGCCUUCGGGUUGUAAACCGCUGUCGUAGGGGAGGAAAUUUUGACCGAUCCUAGGAGGAAGCACAGGCUAAGUUCGUGCCAGCAGCCGCGGUAAUAAGGG